UACGUAGGGACCAAGCGUUGUUCGGAUUUACUGGGCGUAAAGGGCGCGUAGGCGGCAGAUCAAGUCAGCUGUGAAAUCUCCGAGCUUAACUCGGAACGGUCAGCUGAUACUGUUUUGCUAGAGUACAGAAGGGGCAACCGGAAUUCUUGGUGUAGCGGUGAAAUGCGUAGAUAUCAAGAGGAACACCUGAGGCGAAGGCGGGUUGCUGGGCUGAUACUGACGCUGAGGCGCGAAAGCUAGGGUAGCAAACGGGAUUAGAAACCCCCGUAGUCC
Molecule: ribosomal RNA, 273 nt
Filed under: uncultured bacterium
Lineage: Bacteria
Description: partial 16S ribosomal RNA
Rfam family: Bacterial small subunit ribosomal RNA
Source: RNAcentral